Molecule: ribosomal RNA, 375 nt
Filed under: uncultured organism
Description: partial 16S ribosomal RNA
Rfam family: Bacterial small subunit ribosomal RNA
Source: RNAcentral
GUAGGUGGCAAGCGUUGUCCGGAAUUAUUGGGGCGUAAAGCGCGCGCAGGUGGUUUCUUAAGGUCUGAUGUGAAAGCCCACGGGCUCAACCGUGGAGGGUCAUUGGAAACUGGGGAACUUGAGUGCAGAAGAGGAAAGUGGAAUUCCAAGUGUAGCGGUGAAAUGCGUAGAGAUUUGGAGGAACACCAGUGGCGAAGGCGACUUUCUGGUCUGUAACUGACACUGAGGCGCGAAAGCGUGGGGAGCAAACAGGAUUAGAUACCCUGGUAGUCCACGCCGUAAACGAUGAGUGCUAAGUGUUAGAGGGUUUCCGCCCUUUAGUGCUGCAGCUAACGCAUUAAGCACUCCGCCUGGGGAGUACGGUCGCAAAGACUG